GUAAGGGGAACCUGCGGAAGGAUCAUUA
This 28-nucleotide ribosomal RNA is filed under the name Aspergillus steynii. RNAcentral describes it as "partial 18S ribosomal RNA". Lineage: Eukaryota; Fungi; Ascomycota; Eurotiomycetes; Eurotiales; Aspergillaceae. The record is from RNAcentral.